GUGGGAACGUGCCCAGAUCUAAGGAAUAGCCACUGGAAACGGUGAGUAAUACCUUAUACGCCCUUCGGGGGAAAGAUUUAUCGGAUUUGGAUCGGCCCGCGUUAGAUUAGGUGGUUGGUGGGGUAAUGGCCUACCAAGCCUACGAUCUAUAGCUGGUUUUAGAGGAUGAUCAGCAACACUGGGACUGAGACACGGCCCAGACCCUACGGGAGGCAGCAGUGGGGAAUCUUGGACAAUGGGCGCAAGCCUGAUCCAGCCAUGCCGCGUGAGUGAUGAAGGCCCUAGGGUCGUAAAGCUCUUUCGCCUGUGAAGAUAAUGACGGUAGCAGGUAAAGAAACCCCGGCUAACUCCGUGCCAGCAGCCGCGGUAAUACGGAGGGGGUUAGCGUUGUUCGGAAUUACUGGGCGUAAAGCGCGCGUAGGCGGAUUAGUAAGUCAGAGGUGAAAUCCCAGGGCUCAACCCUGGAACUGCCUUUGAUACUGCUAGUCUUGAGUUCGAGAGAGGUAAGUGGAAUUCCGAGUGUAGAGGUAAAAUUCGUAGAUAUUCGGAG
RNAcentral lists this ribosomal RNA (550 nucleotides) under uncultured bacterium. Its description in RNAcentral is "bacterial SSU rRNA". It matches the Rfam family "Bacterial small subunit ribosomal RNA", at positions 117 to 703 of the family's 1533-position model. The record is from RNAcentral.